AGAAUUAUUAAAGUGGCAGAAU
RNAcentral lists this transfer RNA (22 nucleotides) under Ixodes cornuatus. RNAcentral describes it as "partial tRNA-Leu". The record is from RNAcentral. Lineage: Eukaryota; Metazoa; Arthropoda; Arachnida; Ixodida; Ixodidae.